Molecule: ribosomal RNA, 425 nt
Filed under: uncultured bacterium
Lineage: Bacteria
Description: partial 16S ribosomal RNA
Rfam family: Bacterial small subunit ribosomal RNA
Source: RNAcentral
GUGGGGAAUCUUGCGCAAUGGGCGAAAGCCUGACGCAGCCAUGCCGCGUGAAUGAUGAAGGUCUUAGGAUUGUAAAAUUCUUUCACCGGGGACGAUAAUGACGGUACCCGGAGAAGAAGCUCCGGCUAACUUCGUGCCAGCAGCCGCGGUAAUACGAAGGGGGCUAGCGUUGCUCGGAAUUACUGGGCGUAAAGGGCGCGUAGGCGGACAGUUUAGUCAGAGGUGAAAGCCCAGGGCUCAACCUUGGAAUUGCCUUUGAUACUGGCUGUCUUGAGUACGGGAGAGGUGAGUGGAACUCCGAGUGUAGAGGUGAAAUUCGUAGAUAUUCGGAAGAACACCAGUGGCGAAGGCGACUCACUGGCCCGUUACUGACGCUGAGGCGCGAAAGCGUGGGGAGCAAACAGGAUUAGAAACCCUAGUAGUCC